AUAUCAGUAAGCGGAGGAAAAGAAACUAACAAGGAUUCCCCUAGUAACGGCGAGCGAAGCGGGAAGAGCACAAAUUUGGAAUCCGGGCAUAGCCCUGAAUUGUAGUCUAAAGACGGCGACCAAGGGUGCGUUGGGGAUCAAGUUCUCUGGAACGGGACGCCAAAGAGGGUGAGAGCCCCGUCUGGUCCUCCACAACCCCUUUAUGGGAGCCGCUCAAAGAGUCGAGUUGUUUGGGAGUACAGCUCAAAGCGGGUGGUAAAUCACAUCCAAGGCUAAAUAGCGGCAAGAGACCGAUAGCGCACAAGUA
Molecule: ribosomal RNA, 307 nt
Filed under: uncultured eukaryote
Lineage: Eukaryota
Description: partial large subunit ribosomal RNA
Rfam family: Eukaryotic large subunit ribosomal RNA
Source: RNAcentral